This 141-nucleotide small nucleolar RNA is filed under the name Solanum lycopersicum (tomato). Its description in RNAcentral is "Small nucleolar RNA snoR136". It matches the Rfam family "Small nucleolar RNA snoR136". The record is from Rfam by way of RNAcentral. Lineage: Eukaryota; Viridiplantae; Streptophyta; Magnoliopsida; Solanales; Solanaceae.
AUGCUUUGCUAAUUACAUAUUUUUGUGUAUCACACUUUUUAUAGUGUGAUAUUUUAGUAAGUGAAGCUAUAAUAAAGUUCCCCUCGCUAUCCUUUGCAUCUAAUUUUUUGUGGUGUAUUUGGACGUUGGGGUACUACAUGA